CGCGCGCGCUGGAGCUGGCUGUCAAUCAAGCGGCAAGCGACCACAGCAAGUUAGGGUGCGUGUCGCUGUUUGGAUCCCGUAUUGUACUGCUGUGUUGACUCAUUGCCAGAGACACUCCAACUGGGAUUCGUGGGUCUCACGGAGCUGAAGUUAUAUAAGUUACGAACUUGCUAGAACACCAGCCCAGCACAGUUCAAGUGUGGACCAUCCCAUAGGUGCAGAUUCCACUUCACCAGAACUGUGCUAAUGGUCCAUGACAGGAACCUAGUUCCCUCACAUCGGAUGCCAAGAGUGACCAGAACUGUACAAAGUACUCCAGAAGAUACCUCACCAACGUCCUGUACAACCUCAACAUGAUGUCCCAACUCCUAUUCUCAAAGAUCUGAGCAAUGAAGGGAUGUGGACAUCACUGACUAGACUAACAUUAUUGCGCAUUCCUAAUUGCGAAGAGUCAACCACAUGGCUGUUGCGGCUGUACAAGACAUUGAUGAGGCCACUUUUGGAAUACUGCAAACAAUUCUGGUCACCCUGCUAUAGGAAGGAUGUUGUUAACUAGAAAGGGUACUGAAAAAGUUUACAAGGAUGCUGCCAGGGCUGAGGGGUUUGAGUUAUAAGGAGCAGCUGGAUAGGUUGGGACUUUUUACACUGGAGUGUCAGAGGCUAAGGGGUGAACAUAUAGAGUUUGAUAAAUUCAUGAGAGCUAUAAAUAAGGUGAAUAGCCAAGGUCUUUUUCCAAGGGUAGGGGAGUCCAAAACUGGAGGGCUUAGGUUUAAGGUGAGAAGGGAAAGAUUUAAAAAGGACCUGAUGGGCAACUUUUUCACACAAGGUGGUGCGGGUAUGGAAUAAGCUGCCCAAGGAACUGGGAGAGGUGAGUACAAUUACAACAUUUAAAAGACAUUUGGAUAGUUACAUGAUUAGUAAAGGCUUAGAGGAAUAUGGGCCAAACCAGGCAAAUGGAAUUAGGUCAGUUUAGGAUACCUGUUUUCUGUACUCAUUAGAGUUUAUCAUAUUUUUAUGCUUUGUAACUUCCACUGCUCAGUAAAUGAAUAAAUUUCUUGGCAUGUAAAA
Rhincodon typus (whale shark) is the source of this 1068-nucleotide long non-coding RNA. RefSeq lists it as uncharacterized. The record is from RefSeq and is a predicted model, not a curated record. The transcript has 4 exons. Lineage: Eukaryota; Metazoa; Chordata; Chondrichthyes; Orectolobiformes; Rhincodontidae.